UACGGAGGGUGCAAGCGUUAAUCGGAAUUACUGGGCGUAAAGCGUACGUAGGCGGCUUGUUAAGCAAGAUGUGAAAUCCCCGGGCUCAACCUGGGAAUGGCAUUUUGAACUGGGAGGCUCGAGUUCUGAAGAGGGUGGUAGAAUUUCCAGUGUAGCGGUGAAAUGCGUAGAUAUUGGAAGGAAUACCGGUGGCGAAGGCGGCCACCUGGUCAGAAACUGACGCUGAGGUACGAAAGCGUGGGGAGCAAACAGG
RNAcentral lists this ribosomal RNA (253 nucleotides) under uncultured microorganism. Its description in RNAcentral is "partial 16S ribosomal RNA". It matches the Rfam family "Bacterial small subunit ribosomal RNA", at positions 524 to 776 of the family's 1533-position model. The record is from RNAcentral.